CCUACGGGUGGCUGCAGUGAGGAAUAUUGGUCAAUGGUCGGGAGCCUGAACCAGCCAAGCCGCGUGAGGGAUGAAGGUCCAGAGUAUCGUAAACCUCUUUUGUCAGGGAACAAAGUCGGGGACGCGUCCCCGGAUGAGUGUACCUGAAGAACAAGCAUCGGCUAACUCCGUGCCAGCGGCCGCGGUAAUACGGAGGAUGCGGGCGUUAUCCGGAUUUGUUGGGGUUAAAGGGUGCGCAGGCGGUCUGUUAAGUCAGGGGUAAAGCCCCGGGGCUCACCCCCGGCCCGCCGUUGAAACUGGCAGUCUCGAGUUGGAGAGAAGUAGGCGGAAUGCGCGGUGUAGCGGUGAAAUGCAUAGAUAUCGCGCAGAACUCCGAUUGCGAAGGCAGCAUGCUGGCUCCAAACUGACGCUGAGGCACGAAAGCGUGGGUAUCGAACAGGAUUAGAUACCCCAGUAGUC
This 459-nucleotide ribosomal RNA is filed under the name uncultured bacterium. Its description in RNAcentral is "partial 16S ribosomal RNA". It matches the Rfam family "Bacterial small subunit ribosomal RNA", at positions 338 to 795 of the family's 1533-position model. The record is from RNAcentral.